GCAGCUUAAGCUGGUUGAUGAAAAACCCGUUGAUUUGGAGUCAAGGGACUCCAAGAGCCAGCGCUUCUACUCAUGACUUGAUGGGACGUAGGGGUCUUGGAUCAUAAACAUAUUGAUUUUACAUCAAAAGGACAAGGUGGACAAUCACCACGAACAGAACACUCUGCAGAGAGGGGAGACACAGCGGAGACCUUUGGUUUUGCUGAAUCAUCUUGGAAAAUGUUAAUGCUGCACUGGGAAAGGCCAAAGGGACUUGUCUGCUUAAUUCAGUUCGUUAAAAUGGAAGACCACCUGGACUGGGUGUCAGGCAAUCUGGGUCUAGUCCCCAGCUUUGUUCUUCAUUCAUUCUGUGAUCUUGAGCAAAUUGCAGAGAAUGACAUCAUCUUGUCU
Molecule: long non-coding RNA, 390 nt
Organism: Dromiciops gliroides (monito del monte)
Lineage: Eukaryota; Metazoa; Chordata; Mammalia; Microbiotheria; Microbiotheriidae
Exons: 3
Source: RefSeq, a predicted model, not a curated record